AAAAACAUCGCCUCUUGAAUUAAUAUAAGAGGUCCAGCCUGCCCAGUGACCCUGUUCAACGGCCGCGGUAUCCUAACCGUGCGAAGGUAGCGUAAUCACUUGUUCUCUAAAUGUGGACUAGUAUGAAUGGCAUCACGAAGGUUAUACUGUCUCCUUUUUCUAAUCAGUGAAACUAAUCUCCCCGUGAAGAAGCGGGGAUAAUACUAUAAGACGAGAAGACCCUAUGGAGCUUUAAACAGUACAGCAUCUGCCCCAUAACACUAAAAUUUCUGAAUAAAAACUUCAUUGGACAGUAUGACUGCGAGUUUUUGGUUGGGGUGACCACGGAGCACAAUACAACCUCCAUGCUGAAAGAAAAUUUCUAAGCCAAGGUCUACAAACCUAAGCAUCAACACAUUGACAUCCAUUGACCCAAUACACUUGAACAACGAACCAAGUUACCCUAGGGAUAACAGCGCAAUCCACUUCAAAAGCUCCUAUCGACAAGUGGGUUUACGACCUCGAUGUUGGAUCAGGGUCUCCCAGUGGUGCAGCCGCUACUAAAGGUUCGUUUGUUCAACGAUUAAAACCCUACGUGAUC
Molecule: ribosomal RNA, 580 nt
Filed under: Bufo bufo (common toad)
Lineage: Eukaryota; Metazoa; Chordata; Amphibia; Anura; Bufonidae
Description: partial 16S ribosomal RNA
Rfam family: Bacterial large subunit ribosomal RNA
Source: RNAcentral